Molecule: long non-coding RNA, 1185 nt
Filed under: Anolis carolinensis (green anole)
Lineage: Eukaryota; Metazoa; Chordata; Lepidosauria; Squamata; Anolidae
Description: lncRNA (ENSACAG00000042689.1)
Source: RNAcentral
AUGGCCGGGAGUGAACCACCACAUUCAUCCCUGCAUACCAAGUCAAUUCUCCCAUCGCUGAAGAUGAAGGCUUCAGAGGUGCUGCCUGCCAGCAAUCUGCUGAACCCAGCAUCGCCUACCAUCGCGAAAAGAUGUGUUCAACCAAAGAACAUUGACUUCGUCGGGCCACAUCACACUCCUCAGAUGUACUCGUACACACUGGAGUCUCAAUUGGGUUCCCUCUUGAGAAAUCCAAGAAGAGACAUCAGAGACAAAGGCGUCCAGAAAUUCACUGACCGACCGGAUGACUACCUUCUGUGGAAAAUCACCUUCAUGAGGGCCAUUCGAGAUUUCAAGCUAGAAGCGGAUGAAGAACUGUCCCUUCUUGUGGCGUGGCUUGGACCCAGCUCAGCCGAGCAAGUAAAAAGACUUUAUGCUGCUCAUGUAGCAGACCCCCAAAGAGCUUUGUCCACAGCGUGGUCUCGCUUGGACCAGCGCUUCGGUGCGAGCACUGACAUAGAAGCGUCCCUCAUGGAUCGACUCGACAGGUUCCCAUCACUGAAGAUGAAAGAUUGCAAACAGCUUUGGGACUUUAGUGAUCUUUUACUAGAGCUAGCUUCAGCCAAAGGAAAUCCAGAGCUGCCAGGUUUAGCAUGUCUGGACCAGCACACGUCGCAGAGUGCCAUUCUCUGCAAACUUCCUUUUCCUCUUCGAGAAGCUUGGGGGAAACAAGUGUUCAAGUACAAAGAGGAGAAUGCAAAUGUAUACCCGCCCUUCACCUUUUUGGUGGAUUUCGUCACUAGAGCAGCCCGUGAGAGGAAUGACCCUCAAACAGGUCUUCUCGCUUUGUACCAAGACCUAAAGCCUGAAAAGACCUCCAAAGAAGACAAAGCCCAGGGCAAAGAUCUUAGAAGGAACCUGAGUGUCAAGAUGACAGACGCAACUCCUGCAACUUCUGCUCAACCAGUCAGCAACAACACCAUAUCCUGUCCCAUUCAUCAAAAGCCACACAGCCUAGCUGAAUGCAGAGAGUUCGCAAAGAAGCCUUACGAAGAACGACUCCAAAUAGUUCAAAAGGCCAAGGUGUGCUUUAAAUGCUGCGGCGCCACUAUUCACUUCUCCAAAGACUGCAAAGAAAAGGUUAAAUGCCAACACUGCAACAGCAUCAAGCAUUGCUCUGCAAUGCACAACUUCGAUUCCCCUUAA